GGGGUAUUAGCUCAGUUGGUAGAGCGCUUGGUUCGCAAUCAAGAGGCCCGGGGUCCGAAUCCCCGAUACUCCACCA
This 76-nucleotide transfer RNA is filed under the name Alphaproteobacteria bacterium. RNAcentral's name for it is "tRNA-Ala". It matches the Rfam family "tRNA". Rfam says of the family: Transfer RNA (tRNA) molecules are approximately 80 nucleotides in length. Their secondary structure includes four short double-helical elements and three loops (D, anti-codon, and T loops). Further hydrogen bonds mediate the characteristic L-shaped molecular structure. tRNAs have two regions of fundamental functional importance: the anti-codon, which is responsible for specific mRNA codon recognition, and the 3' end, to which the tRNAs corresponding amino acid is attached (by aminoacyl-tRNA synthetases). tRNAs cope with the degeneracy of the genetic code in two manners: having more than one tRNA (with a specific anti-codon) for a particular amino acid; and 'wobble' base-pairing, i.e. permitting non-standard base-pairing at the 3rd anti-codon position. Lineage: Bacteria; Pseudomonadati; Pseudomonadota; Alphaproteobacteria. The record is from RNAcentral.